GCCCGGGUGGCGGAAUUGGCAGACGCGCUAGCUUGAGGGGCUAGUAGGACUAAACUCCUGUGCUGGUUCGACUCCAGUCCCGGGCA
Molecule: transfer RNA, 86 nt
Filed under: Phycisphaerae bacterium
Lineage: Bacteria; Pseudomonadati; Planctomycetota; Phycisphaerae
Description: tRNA-Leu
Rfam family: tRNA
About the family: Transfer RNA (tRNA) molecules are approximately 80 nucleotides in length.
Source: RNAcentral